CCUACGGGGAGCUGCAGUGGGGAAUAUUGGACAAUGGGGGGAACCCUGAUCCAGCCAUGCCGCGUGUGUGAAGAAGGCCCUCGGGUUGUAAAGCACUUUCAGUGAGGAAGAACGCCUGGUGGUUAAUACCCAUCAGGAAAGACAUCACUCACAGAAGAAGCACCGGCUAACUCCGUGCCAGCAGCCGCGGUAAUACGGAGGGUGCAAGCGUUAAUCGGAAUUACUGGGCGUAAAGCGCGCGUAGGUGGCUUGAUAAGCCGGUUGUGAAAGCCCCGGGCUCAACCUGGGAACGGCAUCCGGAACUGUCAAGCUAGAGUGCAGGAGAGGAAGGUAGAAUUCCCGGUGUAGCGGUGAAAUGCGUAGAGAUCGGGAGGAAUACCAGUGGCGAAGGCGGCCUUCUGGACUGACACUGACACUGAGGUGCGAAAGCGUGGGUAGCAAACAGGAUUAGAUACCCUUGUAGUC
RNAcentral lists this ribosomal RNA (465 nucleotides) under Vreelandella stevensii. RNAcentral's name for it is "partial 16S ribosomal RNA". It matches the Rfam family "Bacterial small subunit ribosomal RNA", at positions 338 to 795 of the family's 1533-position model. The record is from RNAcentral. Lineage: Bacteria; Pseudomonadati; Pseudomonadota; Gammaproteobacteria; Oceanospirillales; Halomonadaceae.